GUACUUGUUUCAGUAGGAUGUACACUAAAAUUGGAAUGAUACAGAGAAGAUUAGCAUGGCCCGUGUGCAAGGAUGACACACAAAUUCAGAAAACAUUCCUUAUGACC
Nannospalax galili (Upper Galilee mountains blind mole rat) is the source of this 107-nucleotide small nuclear RNA. The record is from Ensembl. NCBI's taxonomy places the organism in Eukaryota, Metazoa, Chordata, Mammalia, Rodentia, Spalacidae.